GGGUCUGUGGUGAAAUGGUUUAUCAUACCGGUCUCCAGAACCGUUGUUGAGGGUUCAAUUCCCUCCAGACCCA
This 73-nucleotide transfer RNA is filed under the name Candidatus Pacearchaeota archaeon. Its description in RNAcentral is "tRNA-Trp". It matches the Rfam family "tRNA". Rfam says of the family: Transfer RNA (tRNA) molecules are approximately 80 nucleotides in length. Their secondary structure includes four short double-helical elements and three loops (D, anti-codon, and T loops). The record is from RNAcentral. Lineage: Archaea; Nanobdellati.